AUUGAACGCUGGCGGCAUGCCUUACACAUGCAAGUCGAACGGCAGCGGACCUUCGGGUGCCGGCGAGUGGCGAACGGGUGAGUAAUAUAUCGGAACGUACCUUUCAGUGGGGGAUAACGUAGCGAAAGUUACGCUAAUACCGCAUAUUCUGUGAGCAGGAAAGCAGGGGGAUCGCAAGACCUUGCGCUGAUUGAGCGGCCGAUAUCAGAUUAGCUAGUUGGUGAGGUAAAGGCUCACCAAGACGACGAUCUGUAGCGGGUCUGAGAGGAUGGUCAGCCACACUGGGACUGAGACACGGCCCAGACUCCUACGGGAGGCAGCAGUGGGGAAUAUUGGACAAUGGGCGCAAGCCUGAUCCAGCAAUGCCGCGUGUGUGAAGAAGGCCUGCGGGUUGUAAACCGCUUUCAGACGGAAAGAAAUCGCCAGGGCUAAUAUCCCUGGUGGAUGACGGUACCGUCAGAAGAAGCACCGGCUAACUACG
This 481-nucleotide ribosomal RNA is filed under the name uncultured bacterium. RNAcentral describes it as "bacterial SSU rRNA". It matches the Rfam family "Bacterial small subunit ribosomal RNA", at positions 30 to 505 of the family's 1533-position model. The record is from RNAcentral.